CAGCAUGUCCUGCCGCCUGCCAACGACGAUGGCCUGGUUAGUAGGUGGGUUAUACCUGAGGGGUCCCUGAACCCAUGGCAAGGCCAGGUCGGAGUCCGGGGUUGGGCGAGGCCUUGGUCGGAGUCGACUCGUGGCGCUGCCUUUGGUGGGGUUUAAGGAAAUAGAGUUGCGCCUUCACUAACACCGGUCGGUUUUGGUGUAAUGGUAGCGCUUGAUCCUGACA
RNAcentral lists this long non-coding RNA (223 nucleotides) under Phoenix dactylifera (date palm). RNAcentral describes it as "long non-coding RNA (PDAC_LNC016177)". The record is from RNAcentral. Lineage: Eukaryota; Viridiplantae; Streptophyta; Magnoliopsida; Arecales; Arecaceae.